UACACGCUGUGACUAGCAUAUCAAUAAGCGGAGGAAAAGAAACUAACAAGGAUUCCCCUAGUAACGGCGAGUGAAGCGGGAAGAGCUCAAGUUUGAAAUCUUAAAGGGUUUCCCUUUACGAAUUGUAGUUUAAAGAAGUGUUUUCUGUUGAGGUUUUGGUAAAAGUUCUUUGGAAUAGGACAUCAUAGAGGGUGAGAAUCCCGUAUUUGACCUUUACUUUCAACUUUGUGAUACACUUUCAAAGAGUCGGAUUGUUUGGGAAUGCAGUCCAAAAUGGGUGGUAAAUUUCAUCUAAAGCUAAAUAUUGGCGAGAGACCGAUUAGCGAACAAGUACCGUGAGGGAAAGAUGAAAAGAACUUUGAAAAGAGAGUUAAACAGUACGUGAAAUUGUCAAAAGGGAAGCGUUUGACACCAGUGUUGUUUUUCUGAAAAUCAAUUAAAGAACUGUUUAUGCUAAGUUGUUUAGACUUUAUCAGCUAACUGUUUAGUUUUGAGCUUUUCUUUAAUGCACUUUUCAGUUAACAAGUCAACAUCAAUUUCUUUUGCUGUAAAAAAGCUUGAGGAAGGUGGCUUGAGAUUCGUCUUAAGUGUUUAUAGCCUCUUGCCUAUGCAGUCGGAGAGAUUGAGGUCUGCAGCGUAGAUCCUUCGGGGCUAAAUGCAUUUGUGCUAAGUUAUAGCAUUUCAUAGACAACUUGUUGACUAUGAUUUGUCUUGUAGCUUACUCGCUUAUGUUAUUUUACCUACGCUUAGGAUGUUGACAGCAGUAUAGACUGU
This 774-nucleotide ribosomal RNA is filed under the name uncultured Neocallimastigales. Its description in RNAcentral is "partial large subunit ribosomal RNA". It matches the Rfam family "Eukaryotic large subunit ribosomal RNA", at positions 22 to 637 of the family's 3401-position model. The record is from RNAcentral. Lineage: Eukaryota; Fungi; Neocallimastigomycota; Neocallimastigomycetes; Neocallimastigales.